This is a long non-coding RNA of Frieseomelitta varia, 337 nucleotides long. RefSeq lists it as uncharacterized. The transcript is spliced from 2 exons. NCBI's taxonomy places the organism in Eukaryota, Metazoa, Arthropoda, Insecta, Hymenoptera, Apidae. The record is from RefSeq and is a predicted model, not a curated record.
UAGAGUCUUUUUUAAAAUAAUCGAAGACAGUGGAGCACGUUAUUAAUUAAGCGCGAUCUUAGACAUCGAGACUGAGUGUAGAAGAUUUACGUACAUUCGAGGCAUAUUUUUCAAUUGAACAUUACGCUGAACAUACAUACAAUUACGUUGGCAGUUGCUGUAGAGGAUGCAGCGCAGUGCGACGAGAUAAAACAAGCGAACGGGAGGCGCGAUGCCGUCCUAUUUUUAAGUAUGUGAUAAACUGGACGUUUCAACUCGUACCGCGAUAACUUGUGAAUGAUUUACUGUGGAUUGACCAAAAACAAAAAAAUGAUAAUUCUGUAAAAGGAGUAUACCA